GCCUGAUUUUUAUUCUCAAACGACUUAUAGUGGGAUGGUGAUAACCAACAAUACGUGCGGUUGUCACAGCGACAUUCCUGCUUCUCUUAUGCUGAUUAUUUGCCUUAUUUCUGCAGCUAAGACUUUUGGAGGACCCAUCACAAGGUGUCAAUCACAUAACUUUAUAAACUUGGUUAUUUUAAGUAUUGAAAACAAUGAAGAUAAAAACACCUGUUUGCUGUUUACGGGUACAGUAGAUGCAUGUGCAGAUAAGAACUUAUCGAGUCAAUAUUUAUUGAUUAAACUCAG
This 288-nucleotide long non-coding RNA is filed under the name Mytilus galloprovincialis (Mediterranean mussel). The record is from RNAcentral. Lineage: Eukaryota; Metazoa; Mollusca; Bivalvia; Mytilida; Mytilidae.